This 424-nucleotide ribosomal RNA is filed under the name uncultured bacterium. Its description in RNAcentral is "partial 16S ribosomal RNA". It matches the Rfam family "Bacterial small subunit ribosomal RNA", at positions 360 to 776 of the family's 1533-position model. The record is from RNAcentral.
AAUAUUGGACAAUGGGCGAAAGCCUGAUCCAGCCAUGCCGCGUGUGUGAAGAAGGUCUUCGGAUUGUAAAGCACUUUAAGUUGGGAGGAAGGGCAGUAAGCUAAUACCUUGCUGUUUUGACGUUACCGACAGAAUAAGCACCGGCUAACUUCGUGCCAGCAGCCGCGGUAAUAAGAAGGGUGCAAGAGUUAAUCGGUAUGACUGGGGGGAAAGCGCGCGUAGGUGGGUCGUUAAGUUGGAAGUGAGAGCCCCGGGCUUAACCUGGGAAUUGCUUUCAAAACUGACGAGCUAGAGUGCGGUAGAGGGUAGUGGAAUUUCCUGUGUAGCGGUGAAAUGCGUAGAUAUAGGAAGGAACAUCAGUGGCGAAGGCGACUACCUGGACUGAUACUGACACUGAGGUGCGAAAGCGUGGGGAGCGAACAGG